GUAGUCAACAUGCCCAAAGGACGUGGAUAACCUCGGGAAACUGAGGAUAAACCGCGAUAGGCCAAGGUUUCUGGAAUGAGCCAUGGCCGAAAUCUAUAUGGCCUUUGGAUUGGACUGCGGCCGAUCAGGCUGUUGGUGAGGUAAUGGCCCACCAAACCUGUAACCGGUACGGGCUUUGAGAGAAGGAGCCCGGAGAUGGGCACUGAGACAAGGGCCCAGGCCCUAUGGGGCGCAGCAGGCGCGAAACCUCUGCAAUAGGCGAAAGCCUGACAGGGUUACUCUGAGUGAUGCCCGCUAAGGGUAUCUUUUGGCACCUCUAAAAAUGGUGCAGAAUAAGGGGUGGGCAAGUCUGGUGUCAGCCGCCGCGGUAAUACCAGCACCCCGAGUUGUCGGGACGAUUAUUGGGCCUAAAGCAUCCGUAGCCUGUUCUGCAAGUCCUCCGUUAAAUCCACCUGCUCAACGGAUGGGCUGCGGAGGAUACCGCAGAGCUAGGAGGCGGGAGAGGCAAACGGUACUCAGUGGGUAGGGGUAAAAUCCAUUGAUCUACUGAAGACCACCAGUGGCGAAGGCGGUUUGCCAGAACGCGCUCGACGGUGAGGGAUGAAAGCUGGGGGAGCAAACCGGAUUAGAUACCCGGGUAGUCCCAGCUGUAAACGAUGCAGACUCGGUGAUGGGUUGGCUUCGAGCCAACCCAGUGCCGCAGGGAAGCCGUUAAGUCUGCCGCCUGGGGAGUACGGUCGCAAGACUGAAACUUAAAGGAAUUGGCGGGGGAGCA
RNAcentral lists this ribosomal RNA (775 nucleotides) under uncultured crenarchaeote. RNAcentral's name for it is "bacterial SSU rRNA". It matches the Rfam family "Archaeal small subunit ribosomal RNA", at positions 100 to 878 of the family's 1478-position model. The record is from RNAcentral. Lineage: Archaea; Thermoproteati; Thermoproteota.